UGGGGAAUAUUGGACAAUGGGGGCAACCCUGAUCCAGCAAUGCCGCGUGAGUGAAGAAGGCCUUCGGGUUGUAAAGCUCUUUUGUCAGGGAAGAAACGGUAGUAGCGAAUAACUAUUACUAAUGACGGUACCUGAAGAAUAAGCACCGGCUAACUACGUGCCAGCAGCCGCGGUAAUACGUAGGGUGCAAGCGUUAAUCGGAAUUACUGGGCGUAAAGCGUGCGCAGGCGGUUGUGUAAGUCAGAUGUGAAAUCCCCGGGCUCAACCUGGGAAUUGCAUUUGAGACUGCACGGCUAGAGUGUGUCAGAGGGGGGUAGAAUUCCACGUGUAGCAGUGAAAUGCGUAGAUAUGUGGAGGAAUACCGAUGGCGAAGGCAGCCCCCUGGGAUAACACUGACGCUCAUGCACGAAAGCGUGGGGAGCAAACAGGAUUAGAUACCCGCGUAGUCCCUGAGCGGGCUGGCAAGGCGCAU
RNAcentral lists this ribosomal RNA (472 nucleotides) under uncultured bacterium. Its description in RNAcentral is "bacterial SSU rRNA". It matches the Rfam family "Bacterial small subunit ribosomal RNA", at positions 355 to 825 of the family's 1533-position model. The record is from RNAcentral.